Long non-coding RNA from Bubalus bubalis (water buffalo), 711 nucleotides. RefSeq lists it as uncharacterized. Lineage: Eukaryota; Metazoa; Chordata; Mammalia; Artiodactyla; Bovidae. The record is from RefSeq and is a predicted model, not a curated record. The transcript has 6 exons.
GGAGGAGCCAGCUGCCCAGACCCUGAGGCCUGCACACCUGAGAGCUCUCGCUGUCACUGAGAUUCUCUCCAGGCAUCAAGCACAGCACCUGGGGCUCACCACCAAGGGGGCCUGAAUCUUGCCAAAACACUCGACCUGAAGUCACAGCUCCUGAUGGGCAGCCCUCUAGCUCUCUUUGUUGGGGUAACCCACUUAAAGAUGCUUGCUCCUUAGAAGAAAAGCUAUGACAAACCUAGACGGUGUAUUAAGAAGCAGAGACACAACUUUACCAACAAAGGCCUGGAUGGUAGCUGUUGCUGAUUCCCCUGUUGCUGACUCCAGGUAGAUUCUUCCUUGUCAAAAAGACUGAGAAAUGGUUUGGGGAACGGAAAUCGAGGGAUUCUGUUCUUGAACGAGAUGAAGCCCCGGAGAUUUAAGAAUAAACUGCCUGGAGUGAAUCUGACAAAAAGUUAAGUAGGAGGAUGAGGAAAUCCUUCUAUUUUGAAUCCCUGGCUACAGGGGAGGAUCAACUUCACCAUCGCCCAGUGUCUGGCCCAAGAUGGGGCCCACGUGGUGGUCAGCGGCAGGAAGCAGCAGAAGACAUGGAAAGACUAGAGCUUCAGCCUCCUUGACGGCUAAAUUGAAGCUACGUCAUAAUUUCUGCCUGUGCCUGGCUUUCCUAUGAUUCCCCCAAGAACCUUGGCUCACCCUCUCUCCUGUUGGUAUGAUUGG